Molecule: unclassified non-coding RNA, 383 nt
Filed under: uncultured Ascomycota
Lineage: Eukaryota; Fungi; Ascomycota
Description: sequence contains ITS2
Rfam family: 5.8S ribosomal RNA (bases 1-154)
Source: RNAcentral
AACUUUCGACAACGGAUCACUUGGUUCUGGCAUCGAUGAAGAACGCAGCGAAAUGCGAUAAGUAAUGUGAAUUGCGGAAAAUUGUGAAUCAUCGAAUCUUUGAACGCACAUUGCGCCCCCUGGUAUUCCGGGGAGCAUGCCUGUUUGAGCGUCAUAUUACACUUCGAGCGUAGCUUGGUGUUGGGCUCUGCGUCCAAAAGGACGGGCCUCAAAGCAAGUGGCAAGGCGUGUGUUUAUCCCCCAGCUGCAGUAAUAAUCCGCUCGGCUGGGUUGAAAACAACACAUCUAUCAAAACAUUGUGCAGUAGCCCUGCACUUUAUAUGUUUGACCUCAAAUCAGGUAGGGAUACCCGCUGAACUUAAGCAUAUCAAUAAGCGGAGGCU